AAGUGCUCCCCACCACUCCUGUCAGGCGCUGGCUAGGCGCCUAGGGAGAAGAGACGUCCCCUCCCAUUAGCCUCUCCCGAGUUUCGGUAAACUUCCCCUGCCUUCAGGCCUCGCAGACCCAGAACCCUAGAGCGCUUUGGCCUGGGCUGAAGGGAUCCAGGAAGCUGAGAAACCUCUGCUAUGUCAACUAAGUCGCCCGUGCGCGAGUGGGUGGACUGGCGGGCCUUGUGAUGGGGUGGAAGAAGGGUAUCUCCAGCACUAGCCCUGGAGCGGCAGCGCCCCCGCUAGGCUAACGUUAGGUGUGCCAGGUGGCAGAAUGAGGAACCUGGGUAACCAAAGAAGAGGGACAGCGGCGGCUGGAGCCCCCACUGCGGCCGCACCUUUGUGGCGGAUGCUGCGCUUCCAGUCCUUGGCCGUCUCGCGGCCGCUGACGAACUGGAACUCGUUGGGUGUGAGCCACUCGCCCCGGUGCCGGAUAGACGGGCCCUUGCUGCCCUGGCAGAGUUUGCGUACGUAGAGCAGUGCGCGGUUGGCGCCGCACUCCACCUCGAUACACGGCUCACCGUUGUCUAGUAGCGGUUGGAAAUCCGGUGCUGCGGCUGCAGUAGCUGAGAAGCGCUCCAAGGCCAGCGGGUCUCCAGACAAGUAGAGGCGAGGCGCGGCCUCGUGCAGGUUAAGUGUCCCAUUGUGAGAAGAUAAUCUUAGAAAUGUGCCCAUAGGGCAUGAAGACUGCUGAUGCUGGAUCUAUAUGUUUCGCCUGGAAGUGGGGUCUCUGUAGGCUACAGGGAAGCUUCUGAGACUGAACAUACAUGUGUGCUACAGAAGGGCAUACAGCUAGCUGCACAUAAGACCUGAUUGUACAGGGAAGUGACUUGUUCUGUGUGGGUACUUGAACUCUGAAUUGCCAGAAGAGAACAUGCAGAUGAUCGAUACCAUGGGUGAAAAAGAAUCAAGUCCAAACACAAACUCCAGAGAAAUGUCCCAAAGUACUCAGAGAAAGCCAGAGGCUAUGGAUUUGUUCCAGA
Molecule: long non-coding RNA, 1025 nt
Organism: Onychomys torridus (southern grasshopper mouse)
Lineage: Eukaryota; Metazoa; Chordata; Mammalia; Rodentia; Cricetidae
Exons: 4
Source: RefSeq, a predicted model, not a curated record